Molecule: small RNA, 764 nt
Filed under: Ovis aries (sheep)
Lineage: Eukaryota; Metazoa; Chordata; Mammalia; Artiodactyla; Bovidae
Description: partial inactive X-specific transcript
Source: RNAcentral
UCAUGGGUGUCUUUGUUCUAGUGUGCAGCAUGGCGGUAGAAAUAUUCUGUUACAUAGUAGAAGAUGGCCGCUUAAGUACUUGCCGCAGUCUAAAACAUGGCGGGCUUUUGUCUCUGCCGUGUGCAUUUCCUGAUAGGUUUUGCUGCAGGGACAAUAUGGCUGACCUUGUCAUGUGGAUAUCAUGGCAGUUUGUCACGUGGAUAUCGUGGCAGGGGUGUUUGACCGUUACAUUCUUGGCGGGCUUUGCAUCAGGAGGGCCUGCCGCAUUGUUAAAGAUGGCGUACUUUGCCGCGGAAAAAGUGAAAGGAGGGAUUGGCAGCGUUAGAUUGCCGCGUGCCCCACCCAAUCAGAAAGGGUGGUAGAAUUGGUCACAGCCAGUUAGUGGAGGAUGGAGUUAGAUGAGUUAGCAUAGCACCUCACUGCCGUCUCUAAUCAGCCAGUCAGGACUGGCCACAUUUGUACUAAUCUCAGUGGGUGGUACCAAAGUCUUUCCAAGGACAUUUGGCCUUUCCACUUCCUCCCUCCCUCUCACUGGCUCCCUCCCCUCCCUCACUGCCACUUGCAGUGCUGGAUAUUAGGUUGUGCAGGCAGAACCUUACGCCAUUCCUCUGCAUUGGUGCCGUGGCCAAAGCCCUUCCCCCACUUCCCCCUCCCCCGCCCCCUGCUCUUCUGCGCUGUGGCCAGGGGCAGUGCUCCAUGCCUGCCUAAGUGUGAACUUGGCGGUGAGUCGUGGCAAGGACCAGAAUGGAUCGCAGAUGAUCGUU